RNAcentral lists this ribosomal RNA (789 nucleotides) under Monhystera sp. 3 JS-2018. RNAcentral's name for it is "SSU rRNA". It matches the Rfam family "Eukaryotic small subunit ribosomal RNA", at positions 92 to 891 of the family's 1831-position model. Lineage: Eukaryota; Metazoa; Nematoda; Chromadorea; Monhysterida; Monhysteridae. The record is from RNAcentral.
AAUAGCUCAUUACAACAGCCGUUGUUUCUUGGAUCUCUUCUCUACUUGGAUAUCUCUGGUAAUUCUAGAGCUAAUACAUGCAUCAAGACCCGACGCAAGGACGGUCGCAAUUAUUAGAACAAGACCAUCCGGUCUUCGGACCGUUCUUUGGUGACUCUGAAUAACUGAGCAAAUCACAUGGUCUCGUACCGGUGAUGUAUCUUUCAAGUGUCUGCCUUAUCAACUUUCGAUGGUAGUUUAUGUGCCUACCAUGGUUGUUACGGGUAACGGAGAAUCAGGGUUUGACUCCGGAGAGGGAGCCUGAGAAACGGCUACCACUUCUAAGGAAGGCAGCAGGCGCGCAAAUUACCCAUUCUCGGUAUGAGGAGGUAGUGACGAAAAAUACCAAGCCGAGGCUCAUUGAGUUUCGGCAUUGGAAUGAGAACAAUCUAAAUCUUUUAACGAGGAUCUAGUGGAGGGCAAGUCUGGUGCCAGCAGCCGCGGUAAUUCCAGCUCCGCAAGUGUAUAUCUAUAUUGCUGAGGUUAAAAAGCUCGUAGUUGGAUCUGCGUGUUCAGCAUCUGGUGUGGUCUCUGAUCACUACUGGAAUGCAACACAGUUGUGUUGGUUUGCCACUGAUGCUCUUUACCGGGUGUCUUUGGUGACUGAUGAGUUUACUUUGAACAAAUUAGAGUGCUCAAAACAGGCGUUUUGCUUGUAUAUGUCUGCAUGGAAUAAUAGAAUAUGACCUCUGGUCUAUUUUGUUGGUUUUCGGAUGAGAGAUAAUGAUUAAGAGGGACUGACGGGGGCAU